Long non-coding RNA from Pieris rapae (cabbage white), 243 nucleotides. RefSeq lists it as uncharacterized. The record is from RefSeq and is a predicted model, not a curated record. Lineage: Eukaryota; Metazoa; Arthropoda; Insecta; Lepidoptera; Pieridae. The transcript has 2 exons.
CGUAACAAUGGGCCGAUUAUUCCAUUUCAACAAGUGAAUGCUCGAACAGCGGCUUUGACAGGUGUUUCUGAAAGAACCGUGAACCGUAUAGUUUCAGAGGGAAAAAUCAUGGAAAGUAAUUUUACAGCGAGAACUGAAGUCCCUAAUCAAGCAGCUCAAGGACCUUCCACAUCCACAGCUUGUGAUGACAAUUCCACACCAGAGAACACUACUUCCGAGGCUAAGACGAUAAAACUAGUCACU